ACUCCUACGGGAGGCAGCAGUGGGGAAUAUUGGACAAUGGGGGAAACCCUGAUCCAGCCAUGCCGCGUGUGUGAAGAAGGCCUUCGGGUUGUAAAGCACUUUCAGUGGGGAGGAAAGGUUGAUGGUUAAUACCUAUCAGCUGUGACGUUACCCACAGAAGAAGCACCGGCUAACUCCGUGCCAGCAGCCGCGGUAAUACGGAGGGUGCAAGCGUUAAUCGGAAUUACUGGGCGUAAAGCGUGCGCAGGCGGUCUGUUAAGCGAGAUGUGAAAGCCCCGGCUGCACCUGGGAAGCAUGCAUUCGAACUUGGCAGACUGAGAGUCUUGUAGAGGGGGU
This 336-nucleotide ribosomal RNA is filed under the name uncultured bacterium. RNAcentral describes it as "bacterial SSU rRNA". It matches the Rfam family "Bacterial small subunit ribosomal RNA", at positions 335 to 661 of the family's 1533-position model. The record is from RNAcentral.